This 1224-nucleotide ribosomal RNA is filed under the name Pedobacter roseus. RNAcentral's name for it is "bacterial SSU rRNA". It matches the Rfam family "Bacterial small subunit ribosomal RNA", at positions 222 to 1456 of the family's 1533-position model. Lineage: Bacteria; Pseudomonadati; Bacteroidota; Sphingobacteriia; Sphingobacteriales; Sphingobacteriaceae. The record is from RNAcentral.
GAGAUGGGCAUGCGUGUCAUUAGCUAGUUGGCGGGGUAACGGCCCACCAAGGCGACGAUGACUAGGGGAUCUGAGAGGAUGGCCCCCCACACUGGUACUGAGACACGGACCAGACUCCUACGGGAGGCAGCAGUAAGGAAUAUUGGUCAAUGGAGGCAACUCUGAACCAGCCAUGCCGCGUGCAGGAAGACUGCCCUAUGGGUUGUAAACUGCUUUUAUCCGGGAAUAAACCUACUUACGUGUAAGUAGCUGAAUGUACCGGAAGAAUAAGGAUCGGCUAACUCCGUGCCAGCAGCCGCGGUAAUACGGAGGAUCCAAGCGUUAUCCGGAUUUAUUGGGUUUAAAGGGUGCGUAGGCGGCCUGUUAAGUCAGGGGUGAAAGACGGUAGCUCAACUAUCGCAGUGCCCUUGAUACUGAUGGGCUUGAAUGGACUAGAGGUAGGCGGAAUGAGACAAGUAGCGGUGAAAUGCAUAGAUAUGUCUCAGAACACCGAUUGCGAAGGCAGCUUACUAUGGUCUUAUUGACGCUGAGGCACGAAAGCGUGGGGAUCAAACAGGAUUAGAUACCCUGGUAGUCCACGCCCUAAACGAUGAACACUCGCUGUUGGCGAUACACAGUCAGCGGCUAAGCGAAAGCGUUAAGUGUUCCACCUGGGGAGUACGCCCGCAAGGGUGAAACUCAAAGGAAUUGACGGGGGCCCGCACAAGCGGAGGAGCAUGUGGUUUAAUUCGAUGAUACGCGAGGAACCUUACCCGGGCUUGAAAGUUAGUGAAUGAUCUAGAGAUAGAUCAGUCCGCAAGGACACGAAACUAGGUGCUGCAUGGCUGUCGUCAGCUCGUGCCGUGAGGUGUUGGGUUAAGUCCCGCAACGAGCGCAACCCCUAUGUUUAGUUGCCAGCACGUUAUGGUGGGGACUCUAAACAGACUGCCUGUGCAAACAGAGAGGAAGGAGGGGACGACGUCAAGUCAUCAUGGCCCUUACGUCCGGGGCUACACACGUGCUACAAUGGAUGGUACAGAGGGCAGCUACAUAGCAAUAUGAUGCGAAUCUCACAAAGCCAUUCACAGUUCGGAUUGGGGUCUGCAACUCGACCCCAUGAAGUUGGAUUCGCUAGUAAUCGCGUAUCAGCAAUGACGCGGUGAAUACGUUCCCGGGCCUUGUACACACCGCCCGUCAAGCCAUGGAAGCUGGGGGUACCUAAAGUAUGUAACCGCAAGGAGCGUC